AACGAACGCUGGCGGCAUGCCUAACACAUGCAAGUCGAACGAGACCUUCGGGUCUAGUGGCGCACGGGUGCGUAACGCGUGGGAACCUGCCCUUAGGUUCGGAAUAACUCCCCGAAAGGGGUGCUAAUAUCGGAUAAUGUCUUCGGACCAAAGAUUUAUCGCCUUUGGAUGGGCCCGCGUUGGAUUAGCUAGUUGGUAGGGUAAAAGCCUACCAAGGCGACGAUCCAUAGCUGGUCUGAGAGGAUGAUCAGCCACACUGGGACUGAGACACGGCCCAGACUCCUACGGGAGGCAGCAGUGGGGAAUAUUGGACAAUGGGCGAAAGCCUGAUCCAGCAAUGCCGCGUAAGUGAUGAAGGCCUUAGGGUUGUAAAGCUCUUUUACCCGGGAUGAUAAUGACAGUACCGGGAGAAUAAGCUCCGGCUAACUCCGUG
RNAcentral lists this ribosomal RNA (433 nucleotides) under uncultured bacterium. Its description in RNAcentral is "partial 16S ribosomal RNA". It matches the Rfam family "Bacterial small subunit ribosomal RNA", at positions 29 to 507 of the family's 1533-position model. The record is from RNAcentral.